GUCUUUGCGCUUUGGGGCAAUGGGGUAGCUAAUGAGGUUCUAACCGAGGCGUGUCUAUUGCUGUUUGGUUGAAAACUAAUUCUAAACCCCCUUAGGCUUGGGUUUGACGCUGACCUUUGAGAAUUUCUGCAAGGGCUCCCUUUGGGAUUUAAGCC
Molecule: small nuclear RNA, 155 nt
Organism: Mangifera indica (mango)
Lineage: Eukaryota; Viridiplantae; Streptophyta; Magnoliopsida; Sapindales; Anacardiaceae
Product: U4 spliceosomal RNA
Exons: 1
Source: RefSeq, a predicted model, not a curated record